UUAAGCGACUAAGCGUACACGGUGGAUGCCCUGGCAGUCAGAGGCGAUGAAGGGCGUGCUAAUCUGCGAUAAGCGCCGGUAAGGUGAUAUGAACCGUUAUAACCGGCGAUACCCGAAUGGGGAAACCCAGUGUGAUUCGUCACACUAUCAUUAACUGAAUCCAUAGGUUAAUGAGGCGAACCGGGGGAACUGAAACAUCUAAGUACCCCGAGGAAAAGAAAUCAACCGAGAUUCCCCCAGUAGCGGCGAGCGAACGGGGAGGAGCCCAGAGCCUGAAUCAGCAUGUGUGUUAGUGGAAGCGUCUGGAAAGGCGCGCGAUACAGGGUGACAGCCCCGUACACAAAAGCGCAUGUGCUGUGAGCUCGAUGAGUAGGGCGGGACACGUGGUAUCCUGUCUGAAUAUGGGGGGACCAUCCUCCAAGGCUAAAUACUCCUGACUGACCGAUAGUGAACCAGUACCGUGAGGGAAAGGCGAAAAGAACCCCGGCGAGGGGAGUGAAAAAGAACCUGAAACCGUGUACGUACAAGCAGUGGGAGCCCCACCACUAAGCCAGUGGUGAACUCCACAUACGCAUCCUUUGCUGAGGAUACGGUUAACGGAGCGAAAGCGACGUUCAACCGCAAAAGAAGCAGAGGGGGCUUAGUGGUGGGGUGACUGCGUACCUUUUGUAUAAUGGGUCAGCGACUUAUAUUCUGUAGCAAGGUUAACCGUAUAGGGGAGCCGGAGGGAAACCGAGUCUUAACCGGGCGUUAAGUUGCAGGGUAUAGACCCGAAACCCGGUGAUCUAGCCAUGGGCAGGUUGAAGGUUGGGUAACACUAACUGGAGGACCGAACCGACUAAUGUUGAAAAAUUAGCGGAUGACCUGUGGCUGGGGGUGAAAGGCCAAUCAAACCGGGAGAUAGCUGGUUCUCCCCGAAAGCUAUUUAGGUAGCGCCUCGUGAACUCAUCUCCGGGGGUAGAGCACUGUUUCGGCUAGGGGGCCAUCCCGGCUUACCAACCCGAUGCAAACUGCGAAUACCGGAGAAUGUUAUCACGGGAGACACACGGCGGGUGCUAACGUCCGUCGUGAAGAGGGAAACAACCCAGACCGCCAGCUAAGGUCCCAAAGUCAUGGUUAAGUGGGAAACGAUGUGGGAAGGCCCAGACAGCCAGGAUGUUGGCUUAGAAGCAGCCAUCAUUUAAAGAAAGCGUAAUAGCUCACUGGUCGAGUCGGCCUGCGCGGAAGAUGUAACGGGGCUAAACCAUGCACCGAAGCUGCGGCAGCGAACGUAUCACCCAAGACAACUUUACGGAGUUGACGAUUGACGGAGCGAAGCGACGUCAAAGCGUUCAUUAAAGUCGAGUUGGCUUAGGGAUACGUUCGUUGGGUAGGGGAGCGUUCUGUAAGCCUGCGAAGGUGGCCUGUGAGGGUUGCUGGAGGUAUCAGAAGUGCGAAUGCUGACAUAAGUAACGAUAAAGCGGGUGAAAAGCCCGCUCGCCGGAAGACCAAGGGUUCCUGUCCAACGUUAAUCGGGGCAGGGUGAGUCGACCCCUAAGGCGAGGCCGAAAGGCGUAGUCGAUGGGAAACGGGUUAAUAUUCCCGUACUUGGUGUUACUGCGAAGGGGGGACGGAGAAGGCUAUGUUGGCCGGGCGACGGUUGUCCCGGUUUAAGCGUGUAGGUGUGUGUUCCAGGUAAAUCCGGUUCACUUUAACACUGAGGCGUGACGACGAGGCACUACGGUGCUGAAGCAACAAAUGCCCUGCUUCCAGGAAAAGCCUCUAAGCAUCAGGUAACAUCAAAUCGUACCCCAAACCGACACAGGUGGUCAGGUAGAGAAUACCAAGGCGCUUGAGAGAACUCGGGUGAAGGAACUAGGCAAAAAUGGUGCCGUAACUUCGGGAGAAGGCACGCUGACACGUAGGUGAAGUGAUUUACUCAUGGAGCUGAAGUCAGUCGAAGAUACCAGCUGGCUGCAACUGUUUAUUAAAAACACAGCACUGUGCAAACACGAAAGUGGACGUAUACGGUGUGACGCCUGCCCGGUGCCGGAAGGUUAAUUGAUGGGGUCAGCGCAAGCGAAGCUCCUGAUCGAAGCCCCGGUAAACGGCGGCCGUAACUAUAACGGUCCUAAGGUAGCGAAAUUCCUUGUCGGGUAAGUUCCGACCUGCACGAAUGGCGUAAUGAUGGCCAGGCUGUCUCCACCCGAGACUCAGUGAAAUUGAACUCGCUGUGAAGAUGCAGUGUACCCGCGGCAAGACGGAAAGACCCCGUGAACCUUUACUAUAGCUUGACACUGAACAUUGAGCCUUGAUGUGUAGGAUAGGUGGGAGGCUUUGAAGUGUGGACGCCAGUCUGCAUGGAGCCGACCUUGAAAUACCACCCUUUAAUGUUUGAUGUUCUAACGUGGACCCGUAAUCCGGGUUGCGGACAGUGUCUGGUGGGUAGUUUGACUGGGGCGGUCUCCUCCUAAAGAGUAACGGAGGAGCACGAAGGUUGGCUAAUCCUGGUCGGACAUCAGGAGGUUAGUGCAAUGGCAUAAGCCAGCUUGACUGCGAGCGUGACGGCGCGAGCAGGUGCGAAAGCAGGUCAUAGUGAUCCGGUGGUUCUGAAUGGAAGGGCCAUCGCUCAACGGAUAAAAGGUACUCCGGGGAUAACAGGCUGAUACCGCCCAAGAGUUCAUAUCGACGGCGGUGUUUGGCACCUCGAUGUCGGCUCAUCACAUCCUGGGGCUGAAGUAGGUCCCAAGGGUAUGGCUGUUCGCCAUUUAAAGUGGUACGCGAGCUGGGUUUAGAACGUCGUGAGACAGUUCGGUCCCUAUCUGCCGUGGGCGCUGGAGAACUGAGGGGGGCUGCUCCUAGUACGAGAGGACCGGAGUGGACGCAUCACUGGUGUUCGGGUUGUCAUGCCAAUGGCACUGCCCGGUAGCUAAAUGCGGAAGAGAUAAGUGCUGAAAGCAUCUAAGCACGAAACUUGCCCCGAGAUGAGUUCUCCCUGAGACUUAGAGUCUCCUGAAGGAACGUUGAAGACGACGACGUUGAUAGGCCGGGUGUGUAAGCGCAGCGAUGCGUUGAGCUAACCGGUACUAAUGAACCGUGAGGCUUAACCUU
RNAcentral lists this ribosomal RNA (3090 nucleotides) under Salmonella enterica subsp. enterica serovar Heidelberg. RNAcentral's name for it is "bacterial LSU rRNA". It matches the Rfam family "Bacterial large subunit ribosomal RNA". Lineage: Bacteria; Pseudomonadati; Pseudomonadota; Gammaproteobacteria; Enterobacterales; Enterobacteriaceae. The record is from RNAcentral.